This 431-nucleotide ribosomal RNA is filed under the name bacterium Ellin5059. RNAcentral describes it as "bacterial SSU rRNA". It matches the Rfam family "Bacterial small subunit ribosomal RNA", at positions 57 to 483 of the family's 1533-position model. Lineage: Bacteria; Pseudomonadati; Pseudomonadota; Betaproteobacteria; Burkholderiales; Burkholderiaceae. The record is from RNAcentral.
GCAAGUCGAACGGCAGCACGGGGGCAACCCUGGUGGCGAGUGGCGAACGGGUGAGUAAUACAUCGGAACGUGUCCUGGAGUGGGGGAUAGCCCGGCGAAAGCCGGAUUAAUACCGCAUACGCUCUAUGGAGGAAAGCGGGGGAUCUUCGGACCUCGCGCUCAAGGGGCGGCCGAUGGCGGAUUAGCUAGUUGGUAGGGUAAAGGCCUACCAAGGCGACGAUCCGUAGCUGGUCUGAGAGGACGACCAGCCACACUGGGACUGAGACACGGCCCAGACUCCUACGGGAGGCAGCAGUGGGGAAUUUUGGACAAUGGGGGCAACCCUGAUCCAGCAAUGCCGCGUGUGUGAAGAAGGCCUUCGGGUUGUAAAGCACUUUUGUCCGGAAAGAAAUCCUCUGGGUUAAUACCUCGGGGGGAUGACGGUACCGGAA